UGUGGGCCUGAGGGUCCAUAGGUGACAUUAUCAGUCGGUAGACAUUUAUUCUACUGUUCGACGAAAACAAACAGGGGUACAGCUUAGGUGAAAAGAGAAACAGCUUAUUGCCAGGGUCUAAACUCCUAACAACGGAAUGUGUCUGGGAGCGUGUGUAUGGAUACACGUGUACUUUAGAGCAGCCCCGCCUG
Bison bison bison is the source of this 191-nucleotide unclassified non-coding RNA. Lineage: Eukaryota; Metazoa; Chordata; Mammalia; Artiodactyla; Bovidae. The record is from Ensembl.